Long non-coding RNA from Lotus japonicus, 738 nucleotides. RefSeq lists it as uncharacterized. The record is from RefSeq and is a predicted model, not a curated record. Lineage: Eukaryota; Viridiplantae; Streptophyta; Magnoliopsida; Fabales; Fabaceae. The transcript is spliced from 2 exons.
ACUGUGUCACUCUUGCCCUAGAGCUCCGUCAUUGCAGUCGUGCUUAGGUAGUCUCUGUCUUGCUUCUUCUUCUCUUUCAACUGCAUAAUGUCUCUUCUUUUUUGCAUUUCUUUCACGCCUUGCAUUUCUCUUUGAACUUUAUUUAGUAUUAAAGAUGAGCAGUAUUUUGUUUUAACUAUUUUUUACUUGAAGUAUGAUGAGUAUGCUAUUGUAUGUUGAUAUGUAUUUCAGGGAAGUGAAGAAGAUGUUCCAGACACAGAACAAGCUAAACAAUUUACCAAGCAAAGGGCCAGAGGAUUGAGGCAACAAUCAGGAAAUCAUUAAUCUCCGGCAAUCAUUUUCAUAUAUGGAUGGUGGAAAGCAUGAAAAAAAGCAUCUUUGAGUGGAAAUUGGCACCAAGCGGAAGUUGUUUAUGUGUUGGAUUGAUGUAAGGUACGAGAAAGAAACAUAGGGGGUAGAGGCAGCAGUGGAACUGGGUUUGUGAUUGAAGGUCCUUUGUGCUCCACUCAAUAGGUUACAAAGAUAGGUUGGAACUAAUGUAUGUGUCCUUAAUAGUAUACAUGUAUUGUCCUAUGCGCUUUAAGUAACACUUGAAGUCCUGAACCAAAACCCCACUACUUUUAUAUCACACCAGACAUCUACUGUAUGGUGUUAAUUAAAUUUACCAUGUUUGAGUGUGUAUGUCUGUGUGAGAUAUACUUUCACAUAUAAUACAACUCUUAAAAAAAUUCAUCCUAA